RNAcentral lists this ribosomal RNA (381 nucleotides) under uncultured bacterium. Its description in RNAcentral is "bacterial SSU rRNA". It matches the Rfam family "Bacterial small subunit ribosomal RNA", at positions 30 to 412 of the family's 1533-position model. The record is from RNAcentral.
AUUGAACGCUGGCGGCAUGCCUUACACAUGCAAGUCGAACGGUAACGGGCCUUCGGGUGCCGACGAGUGGCGAACGGGUGAGUAAUGCAUCGGAACGUACCUUUCAGUGGGGGAUAACGUAGCGAAAGUUACGCUAAUACCGCAUAUUCUGUGAGCAGGAAAAGCAGGGGAUCGCAAGACCUUGCGCUGAUUGAGCGGCCGAUGUCAGAUUAGCUAGUUGGUGAGGUAAAGGCUCACCAAGGCGACGAUCUGUAGCGGGUCUGAGAGGAUGAUCCGCCACACUGGAACUGAGACACGGUCCAGACUCCUACGGGAGGCAGCAGUGGGGAAUUUUGGACAAUGGGGGCAACCCUGAUCCAGCCAUGCCGCGUGAGUGAAGAA